UUCCUGGUGGACUAGUGGUUAGGACUCAGCACUUUCACUGCUGCAGCCCAGGUUCAAUUCCUGGUCUGGGAA
This 72-nucleotide transfer RNA is filed under the name Sus scrofa (pig). It matches the Rfam family "tRNA". From Rfam's summary of the family: Transfer RNA (tRNA) molecules are approximately 80 nucleotides in length. Their secondary structure includes four short double-helical elements and three loops (D, anti-codon, and T loops). Lineage: Eukaryota; Metazoa; Chordata; Mammalia; Artiodactyla; Suidae. The record is from Rfam by way of RNAcentral.